UCUGUUCACGGAGCCCUACUGCCUGCCCCUGUUACUGCCUCAUCCCAGACCCUGGGUUGAGUCUGCUGCGAGAAGCCCUGGUUGAGGCUGAGGACACAUCUAACAAGGAGGACACAGCACAGCACAAACGCACACCACCACAGGACACAACCUGACGACAGCAGACAGAGAGAGGCCGUACUCGGUCUUUGCUGGUGCAGGCGAAACAGAGCUGUCUGCAGUGGAAGGAGCAAGCUCAGGGGCUUGUCCACUGGCCCCAGCGGCGGGAGCAGGAGAGCCCAGGGCUGCAAAAACAUCCUUUGCAAGGUGCUGUUGGAGGAGCAGUAUCUGGACCAUCAGCUAAAUGAGGACAGAAAUUUUUAUCUGUUUCAUUCCUGUUGUAACCUAGAGUCUGGGAACAGUGCCUCGCCCUUACUAGCUGCUGGAGUUUCCAAGUGGAGAAAGUGAAGCUGAGGGAAAGGUCACUACAGGCACCAGCAGAUGGCUCAGAGGUUGACGGCGAUGCACAUAAGUAGGCCACACUUGUUCAGGAAGUAGCAGGUGAUGUCCACGACCACCAGGAGCAGCACGAAGAUGACAAUGAGGAUGCCCACGAUGGCCCCGGUGCUCAGGCCUGAGAGGGAGGGAUGAUAGCCUCAUCUCAUCCAGGGGACAGGGACGUGGAGCUCCUGUCAAGAUGAGAGUGGGGCCUGGAAGCCAAAUCUCCACCUCAGCCCUCAACUUCUGAGCCUCCCCUGGAGCCAUGCACAAUUGGCCUCCUGGGUUCCUUACCCAGGCACUGUAGCGCUGCCCCAACAGCAGUGCUACUCCACUACCAGCCCAACACGCCUGAGGACCACUCACAACCUAUUCUUCUGGGUAUAAUACAUGGGGCCUGAGCUGAAGGAGAAUUUCUAGCUUGCAAAUGUUUUUGGCCCCUCUGGGACAUUGGCUUGCUUCCCAGCCUUUCCUCCUUGGCUCUCUGGCUGAUCCUUUCCAACACUACUCUAAAGAUUCCAUCCCAUCUCCCAGGAAGGCCCAAGACUAGCAAGGAUUCAGCUACCUGUCUCUGGGCUUUGGCAGCAGGAAAUUAGCUGCUGACCACAGCUGUCAGCUAGAAUGGGUCAUUUUCUCAGCAGUCAGCUAAUGCAGAGGCUCUUCUGGUUGGUUGAACGAGAACAAAGCCAUCUCUCUAUCCCCAUCCCUCUACAUUCCACUCCAAAAGCAAAGAAAGAUGCAGGCCAUCCUGAUCUUUAGGAUCCCAAGCUGUUUCCUGGGAUGGGGAAUUCACUAUCGCCUAUCUAUCAUGACGCUGGCCUUGAAGCCACUGCAGCAUCCUGACAGCAACACCGGGUCGGUGGGAAGUGCCCAUUUCCUGAAGAAGGAGUGCUUCUCUGUGUGCAGGAUAGGACAGCUUCUGCUCUGGGUUCAUCAGAUCCAGCUAAGAACAUUUGAGAAAAGCACCUGGACUGACCCUGACCCUGACCCUGACCUGACUCACAGAAUAUGCUCCCCGCACAACAUAUUUAUUGCAUGGAUGAGAAACAUAAACAACAUUUAAAUCAAUGAUUCUCCACCUGCAGUGGAAUUCCUGGGGUUCUGGUUAAAAACUGAGAAUCUGGGGCUCCCUAAGUCUUUGAAAUCAGAAUCACUGGGGAUAGGCUCAGGAAUCAGGAUUUGAGCAAGUUCUCCAGAAGGUACCUGGGGACCACCAUUCCUAGGUCGUCCCUCUCCUGAAUCACACUGAAUCACAGCUGAUCCUAUGAUCCAUCAUCAAGGAGGAGCUAUGCCUCUUGCCCUGAUGUUUUGGCAGAAUGGACUUGGCCUGAUGUACUGGAUAGACUGAGAAAAAGUAGACUCUUCCCUAAAACCAAGGAGCCACUCAGCCCAGCACUGCUAUGAACCAAGGAUCUAGAGCAAGUGCGGUGCUCAAGUUGUGGGGAGGAUGCUGGCCUCGUUUACAAAAAGAACCGUAAAUGAGGGAUAGGCUGCAGCAUAGAAGAAGGGGUAGUCAAGGCAAGUCAGCAUUUAUUCCCCGUUGGUGGAUGUCACAGGACUGUUCAGUCCAGGAAAGCUAGAGGGACAAGUCAUCUCCUGCAUCUCAUAAAAGGAAAAAUACAAAACCUUCAGGGGUCUGUCUUUGCCACCAUCUUCCCCUGACCUCCUUGACUAACUCACCAGUGCGCCUUCAUACUAACAUGGCUUCUUGGAAGCAGCCUCCCCACAUCCUGGGCAGUGAGAUUGCCAGGCUGUUUGUCUUCUGUGGUUCCUGGUUUGGGAGAGGGUGUUACUUAACUGGGAACUGACUUGCCCCAAGACUGAGACCCGCAGACACUUCCUUUCUUAUGUUUUAAAUUGGGAACAUGGCUCUCAUGCCUUACAGAUGCCUGGGUGAACCAGAGUCAUUGUGCCAUGGGAUGUGGGUGCAGAUGUUCCCUCUCUGUCACUUAACCCUCCACAUGACUGUCAGAUUCUCAGAAUAGUUGAGCUGGAGUCUGGUUCACUCAUAAAAUGCUACAUGUCUGCUUGCUCCUUCCUGGAACUUGUUACCCAGACAGCCGGUCUCAGGGGCCUUUGAGAGGUAUCUGAGUGUGAUUACAAACAGAAUGUAGUUGGUCAAAGAGGACCUUCUUUCAUUUCUAUCUCAAGAUCCCUGUGCAGUCUCCAUUAGGGGUAAAGGUUGCUGUGUAAUUGGAGGACCUUGUUACAGAGUUAUGCAUCUAGUGGCUCAGACCGUGCCCCUGUCCCCAGAGCAACCACCUCCUCAGUUCUGCAAAGGAAUUUUCCCCUCCUCUGCCUGCUGAGGAUUUUAAGGCAGUAGCGGGCCUUGUAGGAUAGCUGAGAAAACCAGUGCUCCGCAUGAGGGAGGAAAGAAGCUCCUUUGACUACAACACCACGGAUGUGAGGUCCAAUUUAAAUGUCUCUCUAGGUAAUUGGUUAUCAUGUGAGAUGGAGGGAAAGGGCUUUUGAUACUUUGUUGGACACACAACUAUUAAAUAAAAUUGAAACACGCUGGA
Molecule: long non-coding RNA, 2996 nt
Organism: Sciurus carolinensis (gray squirrel)
Lineage: Eukaryota; Metazoa; Chordata; Mammalia; Rodentia; Sciuridae
Exons: 9
Source: RefSeq, a predicted model, not a curated record